Molecule: transfer RNA, 85 nt
Filed under: Candidatus Woesearchaeota archaeon
Lineage: Archaea; Nanobdellati; Candidatus Woesearchaeota
Description: tRNA-Ser
Rfam family: tRNA
About the family: Transfer RNA (tRNA) molecules are approximately 80 nucleotides in length. Their secondary structure includes four short double-helical elements and three loops (D, anti-codon, and T loops). Further hydrogen bonds mediate the characteristic L-shaped molecular structure. tRNAs have two regions of fundamental functional importance: the anti-codon, which is responsible for specific mRNA codon recognition, and the 3' end, to which the tRNAs corresponding amino acid is attached (by aminoacyl-tRNA synthetases). tRNAs cope with the degeneracy of the genetic code in two manners: having more than one tRNA (with a specific anti-codon) for a particular amino acid; and 'wobble' base-pairing, i.e. permitting non-standard base-pairing at the 3rd anti-codon position.
Source: RNAcentral
GCCGCGGUCGCUUAGUCUGGCCAUAGCGGAGGAUUGCUAAUCCUCUGUCCGUAAGGGCACGUGAGUUCAAAUCUCACCCGCGGCG